CUUGUAGUGGCAGAGAAAAUGCCUCGAAUUUAAGCUUCGAUUACGAGAGAAUAGUAUCCCUCCUACAGCA
RNAcentral lists this transfer RNA (70 nucleotides) under Sipunculus nudus (marine worm). RNAcentral describes it as "tRNA-Leu". The record is from RNAcentral. Lineage: Eukaryota; Metazoa; Annelida; Sipuncula; Golfingiida; Sipunculidae.